Molecule: ribosomal RNA, 166 nt
Filed under: uncultured bacterium
Lineage: Bacteria
Description: partial 16S ribosomal RNA
Rfam family: Bacterial small subunit ribosomal RNA
Source: RNAcentral
CUGGUACUGAGACACGGACCAGACUCCUACGGGAGGCAGCAGUGAGGAAUAUUGGUCAAUGGAGGCAAAUCUGAACCAGCCAUGCCGCGUGAAGGAUGACGGCCCUAUGGGUUGUAAACUUCUUUUAUAUGGGAAGGAACUUAUCUACGUGUAGACAACUGACGGU